GACGAACGCUGGCGGCGUGCUUAACACAUGCGAGUCGAACGGAAAGGCCUGCUUUCCCUUGUGGAUUGCGGGUACUCGAGUGGCGAACGGGUGAGUAACACGUGAGUGAUCUGCCCCCAACUUGGGUAUAAGCCUGGGAAACUGGGUCUAAUUCCCGAUAGGACUGCAGGGUGGUGCCUGUGGUGGAAAACGAUUUUCUAGUGGUUGGGGAUGAGCUCGCGGCCUAUCAGCUUGUUGGUGGGGUAAUGGCCUACCAAGGCGGCGACGGGUAGCCGGCCUGAGAGGGGGGACGGCCACAUUGGGACUGAGAUACGGCCCAGACUCCUACGGGAGGCAGCAGUGGGGAAUAUUGCACAAUGGGCGGAAGCCUGAUGCAGCGACGCCGCGUGGGGGAUGACGGCCUUCGGGUUGUAAACUCCUUUCGACCGCGAGGAAGCCACCUGGUUGGAAGGGUGGUGACGGUAGUGGUAGAAGAAGCACCGGCUAACUACGUG
RNAcentral lists this ribosomal RNA (494 nucleotides) under uncultured bacterium. RNAcentral describes it as "partial 16S ribosomal RNA". It matches the Rfam family "Bacterial small subunit ribosomal RNA", at positions 28 to 507 of the family's 1533-position model. The record is from RNAcentral.